This is a long non-coding RNA of Gallus gallus (chicken), 1641 nucleotides long. The record is from Ensembl. Lineage: Eukaryota; Metazoa; Chordata; Aves; Galliformes; Phasianidae.
CCAAAAAACCACGAGUUUUCUCUUCCGAAAUCCCACAUUUAACCAGAAAUCACACGUUUUCCCUUCGCAAAACCCCCAUUUAAGCGAAAAUCUCGCGUUUUCUCUUUGAGAAUCGUCAAUUUAAGUGAAAAUCAAGCGUUUUCUCUUUGAGAAUCCCCCAUUUAAGUGAAGAUCAUGAAUUUUCGCUUCUCAAAUACCCCAUUUAAGCGAAAAUCACGCGUUUUCUCUUCGGAAAUCCCCCAUUUAACUUGAAAAUCACGUUUUCUCUUCGAGAAUCCAACAUUUAAGCGAAAAUCACGUGUUUUCUCUUCGAGAAUCCAACAUUUAAGCGAAAAUCACACGUUUUCUCUUCGCAAAUCCCCCAUUUAACUUGAAAAUCACGCGUUUUCUCUUCGGAAAUCCCCCAUUUAAGCGAAAAUCACGCGUUUUCUCUUCGAGAAUCCAACAUUUAACUAGAAAAUCAAGCGUUUUCUCAAAUCCCCCAUUUAAGCGAAAAUCACGCGUUUUCUCUUCGCAAAUCCCCCAUUUAACCAGAAAACCAAGCAUUUUCUCUUCGAGAAUCCCCCAUUUAACCCGAAAAUCAUGUGUUUUCUCAAAUCCCACAUUUAAGCGAAAAUCACGCAUUUUCUCUUCGCAAAUCCCCCAAUUAACCCAAAAAACCACGAGUUUUCUCUUCCGAAAUCCCCCAUUUAACCAGAAAUCACACGUUUUCCCUUCGCAAAACCCCCAUUUAAGCGAAAAUCUCACGUUUUCUCUUUGAGAAUCGUCAAUUUAAGUGAAAAUCAAGCGUUUUCUCUUUGAGAAUCCCCCAUUUAAGUGAAGAUCAUGAAUUUUCUCUUCUCAAAUACCCCAUUUAAGCGAAAAUCACGCGUUUUCUCUUCGGAAAUCCCCCAUUUAAGCGAAAAUCACGCGUUUUCUCUUCGAGAAUCCCCCAUUUAAGCGAAAAUCACGCGUUUUCUCUUCGAAAAUCCCCCAUUUAAGCAAAAAUCACGCGUUUUCUCUUCAGAAAUCCCCCAUUUUAGCGAAAAUGUCGUGUUUCCUCUUCAGAAACCCCCCAUUUAAGCAAAUAUCACGCGUUUUCUCAUCAGAAAUCCCCCAUUUAAGCAAAAAUCAUGCGUUUUGUCUUCGGAAAUCCCCCAUUUAAGCAAAAAUCACGAGUUUUCUUUUCGGAAAUCCCACUUUUAAUCGGAUAUCACGCUCUUUAUCUCCGAGAAUCCCACAUUUAAGCAAAUAUCACGCGUUUUCUCUUUGGAAAUCCCCCAUUUAAGCGAAAAUCACGCGUUUUCUCUUCGGAAAACCCCGAUUUAAUUGAAUAUCAACAGUUUCAUCUCCGAGAAUCCCACAUUUAAGCAAAUAUCACGCGCUUUCUCUUCAGAAAAACCCAAGUAAGAGAAAAUCAUGAAUUUUCUCCUCGGAAAUCACCCAUUUAAGCGAAUAUUUCAGGUUUUUUCUUAGAGAAUACACCAUUUAAGCGAAAACCACACGUUUUCUCUUCAGAAAUCCCCCAUUUAAGCGAAAAAAAGUGCGUUUUCUCUUCGAAAAUCCCCCAUUUAAGCGAAAAUGAUAAAUUUUCUCUUUGGAAGUCCACCAUUUAAGCGAAAAUCAUGAAUUUUCUCUUUGGAAAUCUGCCAUUUAAGCGAA